This 215-nucleotide non-coding RNA is filed under the name Pseudoflavonifractor capillosus. Its description in RNAcentral is "T-box sequence". It matches the Rfam family "T-box leader". From Rfam's summary of the family: Uncharged tRNA acts as the effector for transcription antitermination of genes in the T-box leader family. T-boxes are found upstream of many aminoacyl-tRNA synthetase genes and some amino acid biosynthetic genes usually in Gram-positive bacteria. The record is from RNAcentral. Lineage: Bacteria; Bacillati; Bacillota; Clostridia; Eubacteriales; Oscillospiraceae.
UAAAAAGCCGCGAAGGGAAGGAGUACGCGUUUCCCAGGGUGCAGAGAGGAGCCGGUCGGUGCAAGGCUCUCCGUUGGGAAUGCGGAAGGUGGUCCCGGAGCUCCGCUCCUGAAGCAAGUAGGGGGCGGCGGGUUCUCCCGUUACCGAGACAAUGAGUGUUCUCCCACGGGAGAAAAUUCAGGUGGUACCACGGACUGCAUCGGUUCGUCCUGAGC